UAACGCGUGGGAACGUACCCUUCACUACGGAAUAGCUUCUGGAAACGGAAGGUAAUACCGUAUACGCCCUCCGGGGGAAAGAUUUAUCGGUGAAGGAUCGGCCCGCGUUAGAUUAGUUUGUUGGUGGGGUAAUGGCCUACCAAGACUACGAUCUAUAGCUGGUCUGAGAGGAUGAUCAGCCACACUGGGACUGAGACACGGCCCAGACUCCUACGGGAGGCAGCAGUGGGGAAUCUUGCACAAUGGGCGAAAGCCUGAUGCAGCCAUGCCGCGUGAAUGAUGAAGGCCUUAGGGUUGUAAAAUUCUUUCGCCAGGGAUGAUAAUGACAGUACCUGGUAAAGAAGCCCCGGCUAACUUCGUGCCAGCAGCCGCGGUAAUACGAAGGGGGCUAGCGUUGUUCGGAAUUACUGGGCGUAAAGCGCGCGUAGGCGGGCUAUUAAGCCAGAUGUGAAAGCCCGGGGCUCAACCUCGGAAUUGCAUUUGGAACUGGUAGCCUAGAGACCAGGAGAGGUUAGCGGAAUACCGAGUGUAGAGGUGAAAUUCGUAGAUAUUCGGUGGAACACCAGUGGCGAAGGCGGCUAACUGGACUGGUACUGACGCUGAGGCGCGAAAGUGUGGGGAGCAAACAGGAUUAGAUACCCUGGUAGUCCACACCGUAAACGAUGAAUG
Molecule: ribosomal RNA, 669 nt
Filed under: Henriciella algicola
Lineage: Bacteria; Pseudomonadati; Pseudomonadota; Alphaproteobacteria; Hyphomonadales; Hyphomonadaceae
Description: bacterial SSU rRNA
Rfam family: Bacterial small subunit ribosomal RNA
Source: RNAcentral